Molecule: ribosomal RNA, 1039 nt
Filed under: uncultured Marmoricola sp.
Lineage: Bacteria; Bacillati; Actinomycetota; Actinomycetes; Propionibacteriales; Nocardioidaceae
Description: bacterial SSU rRNA
Rfam family: Bacterial small subunit ribosomal RNA
Source: RNAcentral
AUUCCUACGGGAGGCAGCAGUGGGGAAUAUUGGACAAUGGGCGAAAGCCUGAUCCAGCAACGCCGCGUGAGGGAUGACGGCCUUCGGGUUGUAAACCUCUUUCAGCAGGGACGAAGCGAAAGUGACGGUACCUGCAGAAGAAGCACCGGCCAACUACGUGCCAGCGGCCGCGGUAAUACGUAGGGUGCGAGCGUUGUCCGGAAUUAUUGGGCGUAAAGGGCUCGUAGGCGGUUUGUCGCGUCGGGAGUGAAAACUCAGGGCUUAACCCUGAGCCUGCUUCCGAUACGGGCAGACUAGAGGUAUGCAGGGGAGAACGGAAUUCCUGGUGUAGCGGUGAAAUGCGCAGAUAUCAGGAGGAACACCGGUGGCGAAGGCGGUUCUCUGGGCAUUACCUGACGCUGAGGAGCGAAAGUGUGGGGAGCGAACAGGAUUAGAUACCCUGGUAGUCCACACCGUAAACGUUGGGCGCUAGGUGUGGGACUCAUUCCACGAGUUCCGUGCCGCAGCUAACGCAUUAAGCGCCCCGCCUGGGGAGUACGGCCGCAAGGCUAAAACUCAAAGGAAUUGACGGGGGCCCGCACAAGCGGCGGAGCAUGCGGAUUAAUUCGAUGCAACGCGAAGAACCUUACCUGGGUUUGACAUAUGGAGAAAACUGUCAGAGAUGGCAGGUCCGUAAGGGCUCUAUACAGGUGGUGCAUGGCUGUCGUCAGCUCGUGUCGUGAGAUGUUGGGUUAAGUCCCGCAACGAGCGCAACCCUCGUCUUAUGUUGCUACGAAAGGGCACUCUAAUGAGACUGCCGGUGACAAACCGGAGGAAGGUGGGGAUGACGUCAGGUCCUCAUGGCCCUUAUGGGUAGGGCUACACACGUCAUACAAUGGCCGGUACAGAGGGCUGCCAACCCGCGAGGGGGAGCCAAUCCCAGAAAACCGGUCGUAGUCCGGAUCGCAGUCUGCAACUCGACUGCGUGAAGUCGGAAUCGCUAGUAAUCGCGGAUCAGCUUGCCGCGGUGAAUACGUUCCCGGGCCUUGUACACACCGCC